GUGCUUGCUUCGGCAGCACAUGUACUAAAAUUGGAACAAUACAGAGAAGAUUAGUAUGGCCCCUGUGCAAGGAUGACACACAAAUUCGUGAAGCGUUCCAUCCUUUU
RNAcentral lists this small nuclear RNA (107 nucleotides) under Meriones unguiculatus (Mongolian gerbil). Lineage: Eukaryota; Metazoa; Chordata; Mammalia; Rodentia; Muridae. The record is from RNAcentral.